GUCUCUGGAAGAUACUUGAAUCACAGGACUGAAUAAGGAAGAGCUGCCCUCAGCGUGGCCGGGCAACAUCUAAUCGGCUGAAAGCUUGGAUCGAAUGAAAAGGCAGAGGAAAGGUGAAUUUUCUUUUUAUCCUGGAGCUGGACACCCUGUUUCUCCUGCCUGUGGACAUCAGAAUUCUAGGCUCUGUGGCAUUUCAACUGUAAAACUUGCACUAGUAGCCAGCUGGUUUCUCAAGUCGUUGGCUUCAAAACUGAGAAGUACAGCAUUCUCUUCCCAGGUUCUGAAGACCUCAAAUGGACUGAGCCACACUACCAGCAUCCAGCAUCCAUGGUUCUCCAGUCUGCAGAUGGCCUAUUAUGGGACUUUUCAGUCUUCAUAAUUAUAUGAGAGAAAGAAAAUGAAAAGGAUUUGUAAACUAUAAAUCUCUAAACAGAUGGGAGGAAAGGAAUUGAUGAAACAAUAAAUUUAUUGAUGAAACAAUAAAAAUAAACAUAAAGAACCAAAGAGAAAUGAAACAAAAAAAAGAAGGAUUAAUUAUGACUUUCUACCACUCUAAGGAAUUCUCAAAAGCCAUGGGCCUCACAGUAUGGCAAAAACUAUUCUUCCAAGAAAUGCAGGUAUUCCUCAGGGAGGCACAGGGCCUGCUAUUUUGUAGAUGAAAUGUAUCUUUCUGGAUAGUCUAGGUUUUCAAAGGCCUGUGAAGAAACACAGAAGAGUUGGGUUGAGAUUCCUGAGAGCCUUGCUGGUCGUCUUUGAAAAAGGCUAGUCUGGCCUGGUUGUCAUGACGGGAAGCUGUGCCCUCCAGCGAUCCUCCCCUGUGGUCUGAGUGUUGUGCAGAUGCUCCUUGGGUCUGCUCCAGCUGUGAUCCCCAAUGACUGUGUCUUGAGGAAAUGCCCAGGCUGCCUCAAAGACCCUUUCAUGAGCUGCCACUAGCACUGGUCUGCUUCAUCCCUUCUUUAGUGUGUCUUGGAUGCAAACUGUUUCUUCGUGCAGGGAGAGGCAGUCACCUAGAACAGAAGAAGCCCCUGGAGUCAAGAGACUUCGACUUGGGUCCCUGCACUGGCAGUGUAACCCUUGCACAUCACAUAGCCAGUCCUGGCUUCAGUUACUUUCCCCACCUGGAGACUCGGGGUCGGCCCCUCUUCUGGGCUGGGCUGUGCUUUGGCAUCAUUGAGCUUCAACUUUAAAC
This 1189-nucleotide long non-coding RNA is filed under the name Homo sapiens (human). RNAcentral's name for it is "HSALNT0312116". The record is from RNAcentral. Lineage: Eukaryota; Metazoa; Chordata; Mammalia; Primates; Hominidae.